This 301-nucleotide non-coding RNA is filed under the name Aspergillus ruber CBS 135680. RNAcentral describes it as "Eukaryotic large subunit ribosomal RNA". It matches the Rfam family "Eukaryotic large subunit ribosomal RNA", at positions 1894 to 2600 of the family's 3401-position model. Lineage: Eukaryota; Fungi; Ascomycota; Eurotiomycetes; Eurotiales; Aspergillaceae. The record is from Rfam by way of RNAcentral.
AAUAAAUUGUAAGGCAAAUCUCGUGGUUCGGAAUUUCCAUGUCAUGACAUGUCAAUCCUAUCUAGCGAAACCACAGCGAAGGGAACGGGCUUCGCAAAAUCAGCGGGGAAAGAAGACCCUGUUGAGCUUGACUCUAGUUUGACAUUGUGAAAAGACAUAUGGGGUGUAGGAUAGGUGGGAGCUCCGGCGCCAGUGAAAUACCACUACCUUUAUCGUUUUUUUACUUAUUCAAUGAAGCGGAACUGGGCUUCACCGCCCAUCUUCUGGCGUUAAGGUCCUUCGCGGGCCGAUCCGGGUUGAA